Molecule: ribosomal RNA, 465 nt
Filed under: uncultured bacterium
Lineage: Bacteria
Description: partial 16S ribosomal RNA
Rfam family: Bacterial small subunit ribosomal RNA
Source: RNAcentral
GACGAACGCUGGCGGCGUGCUUAACACAUGCAAGUCGAACGGAAAGGCCCUGCUUGCAGGGUACUCGAGUGGCGAACGGGUGAGUAACACGUGGGUGAUCUGCCCUGCACUUCGGGAUAAGCCUGGGAAACUGGGUCUAAUACCGGGUAGGAGCCAUUUUUAGUGUGAUGGUUGGAAAGUUUUUUCGGUGUAGGAUGAGCUCGCGGCCUAUCAGCUUGUUGGUGGGGUAAUGGCCUACCAAGGCGGCGACGGGUAGCCGGCCUGAGAGGGUGGACGGCCACAUUGGGACUGAGAUACGGCCCAGACUCCUACGGGAGGCAGCAGGGGGGAAUAUUGCACAAUGGGCGCAAGCCUGAUGCAGCGACGCCGCGUGGGGGAUGACGGCCUUCGGGUUGUAAACUCCUUUCGCUAGGGACGAAGCUUUUUGUGACGGUACCUAGAGAAGAAGCACCGGCUAACUACGUG